AUAACCGGGGGCUUCGGCAACAACUUACAUAUGGACCCGCGGCUCAUUAGCUAAUUGGUGAGGUAACGGAUCACCUGUGCCACGAUUCAUAGCCUAACUGAGAGGGUGAUCAGCCACACUGGGACUGAAACCCGGCCCAAACUCCCACGGGAGGAAACUGUACGGAAUCUUCCACAAUGGACCAAACUCUGACGGAGCAACACCACGUGAUUGAUGAAGGUUUUCGGAUCGUAAAACUCUGUUGUUAGGGAAAAACAAAUGCCCUUCUACUAGGCCGGCACCUUGACAGUACCUAACCCGAAAGCUACGGCUAACUACGUGCCAGCACCCACGGUAAUACGUAGGUGGCAAGCGUUGUCCGGAAUUAUUGGGCUUAAAGGGCUCGCAAGCGGUUUCUUAAGUCUGAUGUGAAAAGCCCCGCGGCUCCACCGGGAAGGGUCAUUGUAAACUGCGUGAACUUGAGUGCCAAAGAGGAGAGUGUUUUUCCCCAUGUACCGGUGAAAUGCGUAGAAAUGUGAAGGAACACCAAUGACUCAGGCGACACUCUGGUCUGUAAGUGGAGCUGAAGAGCGAAGCGUGCGGAGCAAUCACCACUACAUACUCUCGUUAUCAAGACGGANCCAUGAGUGCUAGUGUUCGUGGGUUUCUCCCCUUAUUGCUGCAACUAAAGGAAUAAUCAAUCCGCCUCGGCGAGUCUGUCUCACACUGAAAC
This 712-nucleotide ribosomal RNA is filed under the name Bacillus amyloliquefaciens. Its description in RNAcentral is "bacterial SSU rRNA". It matches the Rfam family "Bacterial small subunit ribosomal RNA", at positions 190 to 900 of the family's 1533-position model. Lineage: Bacteria; Bacillati; Bacillota; Bacilli; Caryophanales; Bacillaceae. The record is from RNAcentral.